GACGAACGCUGGCGGCGUGCCUAAUACAUGCAAGUAGAACGCUGAAGGAGGAGCUUGCUUCUCUGGAUGAGUUGCGAACGGGUGAGUAACGCGUAGGUAACCUGCCUGGUAGCGGGGGAUAACUAUUGGAAACGAUAGCUAAUACCGCAUAAGAGUAGAUGUUGCAUGACAUUUGCUUAAAAGGUGCAAUUGCAUCACUACCAGAUGGACCUGCGUUGUAUUAGCUAGUUGGUGAGGUAACGGCUCACCAAGGCGACGAUACAUAGCCGACCUGAGAGGGUGAUCGGCCACACUGGGACUGAGACACGGCCCAGACGCCUACGGGAGGCAGCAGUAGGGAAUCUUCGGCAAUGGACGGAAGUCUGACCGAGCAACGCCGCGUGAGUGAAGAAGGUUUUCGGAUCGUAAAGCUCUGUUGUAAGAGAAGAACGAGUGUGAGAGUGGAAAGUUCACACUGUGACGGUAUCUUACCAGAAAGGGACGGCUAACUACGUG
RNAcentral lists this ribosomal RNA (495 nucleotides) under uncultured bacterium. RNAcentral's name for it is "partial 16S ribosomal RNA". It matches the Rfam family "Bacterial small subunit ribosomal RNA", at positions 28 to 507 of the family's 1533-position model. The record is from RNAcentral.